GACUCUCUCUGCAGCUAGUGCUCUCAGCAGCUGCUAGGUUUACUAGUGCAAUGUAAUGGAUGCUAAAUUUACCAUGAGCAAGAUAUUUCCAGUUUGAACCACCUUUGAUUAACUGGCACAACAGUAAUUUAAAAUGUUCAUGGCUGCCUUCCCUCUCAGUGUUUCACCAGCAUUCGUGGGCAUGGAAUUUUAUGUUCUGCAAAGCCCUUGGCGAUGAAAAGAGAAAAUACAGUGCAAUUAAAUACACCCCUGAAAGGACAAGAGACCUCACGAUUCACAGACUGCUCGGAAAUUGGGUGAAUUCAGGUGCUCAUCAGUUUGGGGCCAAUUGGAAGCUGACAAUGCCCUUGUCAAUCAAGCCCCCAAGAGACAUGGAUGAGAUACAUCUUUUGGUACUUAAGAGGCAGCAUCCUUCAAUCAUAGUGCCAUUGCAUAAGACGCCAUUAGAGGUCUUUUAUUUUAAGAUGACAUCUAAAGUCUAAAAUGGUAAGAAAAACAUAAAGCUUCAAAGAAAGAAAGAAACUUGGUAGCCAUUGUGACUUAUCGCUGUGAGAGAGCAGAUGUAUUACUGAAGAAAAGAAGAGACUAAAUGCCCAGCAAUCAAAUGCAUGCCUCUUUUCCAACAAUAUUUUCUUUUUGCUAUAGUAUCUACAGUGAAAUAUAUUCCUUUAUAAAAACAAAAACAAGCACUUGGCACAGGCCUGUCCAAUCACACAUUUUGCACAAGGCCAGGCCAAGAUGGAAAAAUAUUAAGUGUAUUUUUCCUGAAGUUUUCCAUAUUUUUUGCAGUGUGAAAACAAAUGUGAGAUGCUCAGAUUUUUUUGGAUACAUUUCAGCAGCAUGCCACAAGAAUGCCAUCUAGCCAAAGAAACUCUAAAGUGCCGUCUUUCUGUAUUGUAAACCACAAUACAUUCAUAUUUCUGACAUAAGAAAGAACACUACAUAAGCAACUUCAGCUCUUAGGAAAACUCUUAGGAGCCUCCACAGAAAGGCUGCACGA
Trachemys scripta elegans is the source of this 1000-nucleotide long non-coding RNA. RefSeq lists it as uncharacterized. The transcript is spliced from 3 exons. The record is from RefSeq and is a predicted model, not a curated record. Lineage: Eukaryota; Metazoa; Chordata; Testudines; Emydidae.